RNAcentral lists this ribosomal RNA (1130 nucleotides) under Cladosporium sp. CHTAE11. RNAcentral describes it as "eukaryotic LSU rRNA". The stretch from base 507 to 1130 matches the Rfam family "Eukaryotic large subunit ribosomal RNA", at positions 1 to 654 of the family's 3401-position model. Lineage: Eukaryota; Fungi; Ascomycota; Dothideomycetes; Cladosporiales; Cladosporiaceae. The record is from RNAcentral.
CGUAACAAGGUCUCCGUAGGUGAACCUGCGGAGGGAUCAUUACAAGUGACCCCGGUCUAACCACCGGGAUGUUCAUAACCCUUUGUUGUCCGACUCUGUUGCCUCCGGGGCGACCCUGCCUUCGGGCGGGGGCUCCGGGUGGACACUUCAAACUCUUGCGUAACUUUGCAGUCUGAGUAAACUUAAUUAAUAAAUUAAAACUUUUAACAACGGAUCUCUUGGUUCUGGCAUCGAUGAAGAACGCAGCGAAAUGCGAUAAGUAAUGUGAAUUGCAGAAUUCAGUGAAUCAUCGAAUCUUUGAACGCACAUUGCGCCCCCUGGUAUUCCGGGGGGCAUGCCUGUUCGAGCGUCAUUUCACCACUCAAGCCUCGCUUGGUAUUGGGCAACGCGGUCCGCCGCGUGCCUCAAAUCGACCGGCUGGGUCUUCUGUCCCCUAAGCGUUGUGGAAACUAUUCGCUAAAGGGUGUUCGGGAGGCUACGCCGUAAAACAACCCCAUUUCUAAGGUUGACCUCGGAUCAGGUAGGGAUACCCGCUGAACUUAAGCAUAUCAAGCAAAAGAAACCAACAGGGAUUGCUCUAGUAACGGCGAGUGAAGCAGCAAUAGCUCAAAUUUGAAAUCUGGCGUCUUCGACGUCCGAGUUGUAAUUUGUAGAGGAUGCUUCUGAGUAACCACCGACCUAAGUUCCUUGGAACAGGACGUCAUAGAGGGUGAGAAUCCCGUAUGCGGUCGGAAAGGUGCUCUAUACGUAGCUCCUUCGACGAGUCGAGUUGUUUGGGAAUGCAGCUCUAAAUGGGAGGUAAAUUUCUUCUAAAGCUAAAUAUUGGCCAGAGACCGAUAGCGCACAAGUAGAGUGAUCGAAAGAUGAAAAGCACUUUGGAAAGAGAGUUAAAAAGCACGUGAAAUUGUUAAAAGGGAAGGGAUUGCAACCAGACUUGCUCGCGGUGUUCCGCCGGUCUUCUGACCGGUCUACUCGCCGCGUUGCAGGCCAGCAUCGUCUGGUGCCGCUGGAUAAGACUUGAGGAAUGUAGCUCCCUCGGGAGUGUUAUAGCCUCUUGUGAUGCAGCGAGCGCCGGGCGAGGUCCGCGCUUCGGCUAGGAUGCUGGCGUAAUGGUCGUAAUCCGCCCGUCU